GCUAUUGAUUGCAAAUUUGUUCCAUACUUGACCCCUAAACAGAUCGUGUUCCCAUUCCCUGCAACUGAAAAAGUUACCAAAUUCAAGCUCUCACCUGCCUGCUGCUUUCCUUUUUUAAUAUCUUCAUAUUCAUCUUCACUUCCGUUGCGGCCAACAGUCAUCUCUGCCUAUAAGAAAAAUGUGGUGGAGUCGAAUUAUUACGAGGAUACCUUCACAUUAACUUACUUAGAGGUGAAUUUUUCUAUAUAUAUAUAUUCAUUCGAAUUAUUAUUUAUUUUAUUUAUUUAUUUAGGGGAAUAGCUGGUUGUGG
RNAcentral lists this unclassified non-coding RNA (310 nucleotides) under Hevea brasiliensis (rubber tree). The record is from RNAcentral. Lineage: Eukaryota; Viridiplantae; Streptophyta; Magnoliopsida; Malpighiales; Euphorbiaceae.